AUGUAUCCACUUUGUUUUGGAAUUUUUGAUUCCGAAACAAAUGAGAACUGGAUCUGGUUCAUGCAAUUGCUUAGGCAAGCCAUAGGAUCGCCAAGGGGUUUAGCCAUAAGCAUUGAUGCUGGGCAGGCGGUGAUGACAUGGGUAAAGGAAGUUUUCCCAGAGGUAGAACAUAGGGAAUGCAUGUUUCACUUGGUGUCAAACUUCAAGAAAAAGUAUCACGGAAAGGUAUUUGAUGCCCAUCUUUGGGCUGCUGCUUACUCAUGGAACAAGUAUAUAUUUGAGAAAAAUUGGGUUGCAAUGGAGACAGCAAAGCCAGCGGCAACUACAUAUCUUAGGAAGUGGCACACUAGGUUGUGGACUAGGAGUCAGUUCUCAACCAUUUGUAAGGUGGACUAUGUAACCAACAACCUGGCAGAGUGCUUCAAUAAAUGGAUUAAGCACCACAAGUCCUUGAACUUGGAUGACUUAAUGGACAAGCUUAGGCAGAUGAUUAUGAUCAUGUGGAAUCGAAGGAGAAAAGUAGCAAAGAAGUUAGCUGGCUUAUUAAUUUUGCCCCACAUAAUGAAGAAGUUGAAUGCAAAGAGUAGAGAGUUAAACUUGGAGGUGGUAGAAAGCUCGGAAGAAGUUGCUGAAGUUACUCAAUUGGGAGGCAGCGGGUUUAGGUUUGUCGUCAACUUGCAUGACAACACAUGUUCUUGUAGACAAUGGCAAGUUUCCGGCCUUCCUUGCAAGCAUGCUCUAGCAUUCAUCACAUCACCUGUCAAUGCACAUAUACAGAAUUAUGUGGACUCGUAUUACUCCAUUGACAAGUUUAGGGCAGCUUAUGGCCAACUAAUCCCUGCUAUGUGUGACAAGACCCAGUGGCCUGAAUCUAACCAUGGAUUCUUCAUGCAUCCACCCUUGUUAAAAGCUGUAGCUGGUCGGCCCCAAACUGAGAGGCAUAAGGGUUGUGGUGAGAAAAAGAGGAAAAGUGGCCAGCACUUGUGCCCUAUUUGCAAGGAAUACGGGCACCAUUGGCAUAAAUGCAAGAAGGGUAACAAAAAUGACAUUGCUGCUUUCAUGGCUGUGAGAGAACCACUAAAGAAGAGGAGGAAGACUACUAAAACAUCCAAGUCAUCCAUUGUGCCAAGAGGUGAUGACGCGCCGGCAGCCGCUAUGUAUUUUCCACCAAGCCAAAACUUGGAAACUACAACCAAGAAGAAGGGAAAGCAUAACCAAACAUUGGAGACUACAAACAAGAAAAAUGCAAAAGGGGGGAAAAGGGCCACAAGGAAGAUGGAGCUUGCUAAAAAGGAUCAAAACAAUCCGAUGGUGCCAUUUGACAGCCCUGCAAUGGGCACUAGAAGCAAAAAAGCUUACCCAACUAGCCCUGCAAUGGGGACAAGAAGCAAAAGGCGACUCAGCUUGUGA
RNAcentral lists this ribosomal RNA (1410 nucleotides) under Triticum aestivum (bread wheat). RNAcentral describes it as "partial small subunit ribosomal RNA". The record is from RNAcentral. Lineage: Eukaryota; Viridiplantae; Streptophyta; Magnoliopsida; Poales; Poaceae.